UACAGAGGGUGCAAGCGUUGUUCGGAAUUAUUGGGCGUAAAGCGCGUGUAGGCGGCUUGGUAAGUCGGGUGUGAAAUCCCUCAGCUUAACUGAGGAAGUGCGCCCGAAACUGCUUUGCUUGAGUGCCGGAGAGGAUGGCGGAAUUCCCCAAGUAGAGGUGAAAUUCGUAGAUAUGGGGAGGAACACCGGUGGCGAAGGCGGCCAUCUGGACGGUAACUGACGCUGAGACGCGAAAGCGUGGGGAGCAAACAGG
This 253-nucleotide ribosomal RNA is filed under the name uncultured bacterium. RNAcentral's name for it is "partial 16S ribosomal RNA". It matches the Rfam family "Bacterial small subunit ribosomal RNA", at positions 524 to 776 of the family's 1533-position model. The record is from RNAcentral.